UACGGAGGGGGCAAGCGUUGUUCGGAAUCACUGGGUGUAAAGGGUGCGUAGGCGGUCCGCCAAGUCUGAUGUGAAAUCCCUGGGCUCAACUCGGGAACUGCAUUGGAAACUGGCGGACUGGAGUACCGGAGAGGGAAGCGGAAUUCCUGGUGUAGCGGUGAAAUGCGUAGAUACCAGGAGGAACACCGGUGGCGAAGGCGGUUUCCUGGCCGAGUACUGACGCUGAGAUACGAAAGCGUGGGGAGCAAACAGG
RNAcentral lists this ribosomal RNA (253 nucleotides) under uncultured bacterium. RNAcentral's name for it is "partial 16S ribosomal RNA". It matches the Rfam family "Bacterial small subunit ribosomal RNA", at positions 524 to 776 of the family's 1533-position model. The record is from RNAcentral.